This is a long non-coding RNA of Phodopus roborovskii (desert hamster), 1009 nucleotides long. RefSeq lists it as uncharacterized. The record is from RefSeq and is a predicted model, not a curated record. NCBI's taxonomy places the organism in Eukaryota, Metazoa, Chordata, Mammalia, Rodentia, Cricetidae. The transcript is spliced from 2 exons.
AACCUUUUCCUUCUUAGUGCAUAUUUAUUUAAUUUACUAAACUUAAUGUAUCUGUGAAUCUUAGCAUUUUAGGCAGUGACCCAGCCAGGUAAGUUGCUUCUUGCUGUCAGUUACUCCCUGCAGAUGGAAGUAAACCUGGAAUUUUGGUCUUAGCAGAAUUUGUUACAUUCCAUGUAUAAUAGAAAUUUAAAUCCCUUAUGCACUAACAUAAUAGGAAAAUAACAGUUCUAAUAAGUCUGUGUUAGUGGUAACAAAUUGAUUUAUUGAAUUUCUGUUCUGUUAUUCUCUCCACCGCUGAUUCUCACACUUAAUAUAUUCCCCUAAACUCACACUCUCAGGAAAAUGUUGUUGAUGGAUUAGGUAUGGUUGUUACUGUUGGUGAUGAUUCUGGGGCUCAGGCGACAAUACAGAAGCAAUCUUAUUUUGAGCAGAGUAGGCAUUGUCUGCAUAGGAGAGAGCUGGGUUUGACUUUAAAAGACUAUUUAAUCAACUAGUUCUUACUUGGUUUGUCCUUAACUUCAGUACAAUAUGAGAAUGUCCUGUUUGAGUUCCUUUAGUUAUAAUCACUCUAAAUUUUGUAGGUGUGUUAUGGUACCUCCUCUUAAGUUUACUUAUUAUUUAAUUCUUGGCUCAGUGGUUUCUCAAUAAGGCGCAGGUGGUGCUUGGACUGGCUUGCUUUUGGAGUUCUGAGAGAGCUGCUUGAUUAUUCUGCAUCCCAGAUGCUCAACUCUUAAUUGUACACUGUCCUUUUUCAAUUUGCUCUCUCUGCUCAAAUACAUUUACUCAGUUAUUAGUUCUUUGCUCUGUCCUUGAAGAACUGGCCCACUUGAAAUGAAGAUCAGUGGAGUUUCUUAGAACAUGAAUUUGGUGGUUCACUUAAUCUGUUUGUGAUGUCGUAGUGGCCUUCAGUUUUAAUCUUCUAUUGCAGGUAUUGGACAUGGCGUAUCUUCUAAAGAUGUCAUCACCUUUAGCAUAUUCUUCCGGCUAAAAAUAAACAUCAAACUCCAAA